GUAUGUUGAUCUUCCAUGGAGGUAAAAAUCCCCUAUGUCUUUUGGUUUCAAUUUUAGUGAGAAUACCAUAGGAUCAUCUAUUUAGUCUUAUGGGAAAUUAGAGGUCAUCUAGCCCAAAGCCAUCAUUUCACAGAUAAAGAAACCAAGAGCCAAAGAAAUUAAGUGACUUGCCCAAGGUUGUUGGAGCAUCAAAAUUUGAACUUAGAUCCUUAGGCUUCAAACCUAAAAUGACUUCCACUACUCCAUCAGCCCCUCAACUCACAACAUUUAUACCUGGCAACUUUUAUUUGACUUUAAGGAGGAAGAAGCCUCUUGGCAAAGAGCUGUGCUAACUCCAAAAAUCCCUGAAGAUCAACUUAACACCAGGAGGGAAAAGAAAAUCAAAGAAAUUGCCUGCCAGGGAAGACUAUUUGGCCCAUCUCCAGACUCCAGUAAACACAAAGUGCCAUCAGCCUACAGAAACAUUAGGAGUUUAUGAUGCGGAAAGAAGCGGCUUGUGUGUGACGCAUUUCCAUCUUAUGUGGAGCCAUCUAUUAGAAUGGGAUGUUCUUAAUUUGCUGUGGCCAGAUUAGACCGCAUCAUCGCUGCCAGACAAACUCCAUGAAUUUGAGCAGUGAUUUCUAUGGAAAAUUGGCAAUUAAUCUUAGAUCUAGAAUGGGAAGAGACUUCAGAGAUCAACCCCCUCCUUUUACAGAGCAAACUGGAACUCAAGGAGACAAAGGGACUCCUUUAUUACAGAUGUGAUGUUUUUACGUUACUAGGAUUAGAGGUGAUCCAGUGACAAUGGCCUCCUUAUUGUUCCUCUAGAGCAUUAUCCCAUCUCGAGACUCUUAAUAUUUCAAUGUCUACCUCCCAUGACUGGAAUUCUCUCCCAUCCAUCUCCAUUUCCUGACUUCCUGGCUGCCCCCAAGUCCUAAGCAAAAUCCUAACUUCUGUAAGAAGCCUUUCCAUACCCCCCCUUUACUAAUUGUAUUUACCCAGAAUUGUUUCCAAUUUAUCCUCUGUAGAGUUUAUUUCUAAACCAUUCAUUUCAUGAUGUCUUCCUCUAUUAGAUUGUGAACUCCUUGAGAGUAAGGUGUAUGUUUUUUGUUAUUUUGUUUUUUUCUUUUAUUUUAAUCCCUAGCUCUUGAUACAGUGCCUGACAUAAAGUAAACAAUAAAUGCUUAUUGACUGAUUUCA
Molecule: long non-coding RNA, 1179 nt
Filed under: Monodelphis domestica (gray short-tailed opossum)
Lineage: Eukaryota; Metazoa; Chordata; Mammalia; Didelphimorphia; Didelphidae
Description: lncRNA (ENSMODG00000037242.1)
Source: RNAcentral